Long non-coding RNA from Camellia sinensis, 848 nucleotides. RefSeq lists it as uncharacterized. The record is from RefSeq and is a predicted model, not a curated record. NCBI's taxonomy places the organism in Eukaryota, Viridiplantae, Streptophyta, Magnoliopsida, Ericales, Theaceae.
CUUUGCCAUCUGCCACUACUUGUUCUAUCCUUCCCCGCCACCUCCACCACAUUCACCUUUUGUCGUCCACACACUCUACUCUAUCCCCAUACACUUUCUUGCACUCUUGCUUUCUAUCUCUAUGUCAAUAUCUCUCUCCCUUCUCUCUACUCCCAUCUCUCUACAUUCAAGUUUUUAACUCAAGAUCAGAGUUAUUUUAAGUUUGAUUUUUACAUUUGGUUUGUGAAGGAAAGUUGUCAAGCUCGUCAAGUACAUCAAUCCUACUAGUGGAGGUUUUUGUUUUGGCAGUUACUAUUUAUUGUCGAAUGUACUAUUCAUUGUCGGGGCUACUAUUCACCUUUGGAGGUUACUAUUCACCACCGGCAAUUACUAUUCACCGUUGAUCACUAUUCAUCCGGUGGGGUCACAUCUUUCACAAAUUAGGUGAUUCGACCGACCAUUUAAAGAGCAAACCAGUAUUCUGCAGGAAGAAAUGGCCGGUCGGCAACUUUCAGUGCCGGCCGACUAUCAAUACCUAGUCGGUGAUCUAAUUUUUGGUUGAUGACCAUAAUUCCAUGGCCGGUGGUUCUCCCUCUUGGUCGGUGGCCUCCCACAACUCUCAGGGAGUAUUUCAGAAGCAAUUUGGAAACUUGUACAGUCUUCAGAAGAGGAAAACAGUGCAAACAGAGGCAGCACGAGCAUGGCGAUGGAUUUCCGGGCGGAGCCAAGCAUGUGUGCAUUUAUCCCUCUUCCCAAGGCUGUUUUACCGCUUUAUUAGCUUAGUUAAUUUGCUUAACUAGUUAAGUGGUCUGUAUUAAUUAAUUAGCUAGAGUAGUUAAUUAUUUAUUCGGUUUGUACUAUUCUUUCAA